GAAGAACCUUACCAGCUCUUGACAUUCGGGGUUUGGUCAGUGGAGACAUUGACCUUCAGUUCGGCUGGCCCCAGAACAGGUGCUGCAUGGCUGUCGUCAGCUCGUGUCGUGAGAUGUUGGGUUAAGUCCCGCAACGAGCGCAACCCUCGCCCUUAGUUGCCAGCAUUCAGUUGGGCACUCUAAGGGGACUGCCGGUGAUAAGCCGAGAGGAAGGUGGGGAUGACGUCAAGUCCUCAUGGCCCUUACGGGCUGGGCUACACACGUGCUACAAUGGUGGUGACAGUGGGCAGCGAGACCGCGAGGUCGAGCUAAUCUCCAAAAGCCAUCUCAGUUCGGAUUGCACUCUGCAACUCGAGUGCAUGAA
RNAcentral lists this ribosomal RNA (364 nucleotides) under uncultured bacterium. Its description in RNAcentral is "bacterial SSU rRNA". It matches the Rfam family "Bacterial small subunit ribosomal RNA", at positions 963 to 1324 of the family's 1533-position model. The record is from RNAcentral.